Long non-coding RNA from Meriones unguiculatus (Mongolian gerbil), 543 nucleotides. RefSeq lists it as uncharacterized. NCBI's taxonomy places the organism in Eukaryota, Metazoa, Chordata, Mammalia, Rodentia, Muridae. The transcript is spliced from 5 exons. The record is from RefSeq and is a predicted model, not a curated record.
AGGCUCUGGCUCAGACUGAACAGGUAGAGCCUCAGAAUGUUGUGGCCACAACUGCUGCAAAGGCUAAAGUAGCCACAAGCAUCCUAGAACGUGAGGGCAGCCAUCAUUGCCCAGCACAGUGCUGAACACUGGCAAGAAGACCAAGAAGGAAAGGAUCCAGGGCUGGAAAAUCCUGAGAUGGGACUGUGGUGGCCUGAGCUGGGAAGACAGCAGACGGUUCUCACCACAACAAACAGGUCUCAGCAGUGCACACUAAAUAGCCACUGCACGAAUGGGAGAGCCGCAUGGAACGCUGAAAACAGCAGCAGCCCAGAAGGUUCAGUCUAUGCUGUUCUCUGCUCCCUGUGUUCCUGACAGCAUUGAUGAUAUGCAGCCAUCUUCCUUACCCAGGAUGAGAAAUUGAACCAUCAAACAAACAAACAAACAAACAAACAAAAACAACCAACCAACCAACCAAACAAACAAAAAAAACUAUUCAAAUGUUCCACAUCCACUUUAUUUCCAGUCUAUUCAAGUGGGCCAUCUUCCUCAGUGGCACCCCAG